Molecule: transfer RNA, 51 nt
Filed under: Rhizoglyphus robini
Lineage: Eukaryota; Metazoa; Arthropoda; Arachnida; Sarcoptiformes; Acaridae
Description: tRNA-Tyr
Source: RNAcentral
GUGGACGGAUUUUAUAUAGGAGCUGUAAACUCUUAUCUUUAUGUCGUCAUA